RNAcentral lists this long non-coding RNA (206 nucleotides) under Nicotiana benthamiana. Its description in RNAcentral is "long non-coding RNA (NBEN_LNC038365)". Lineage: Eukaryota; Viridiplantae; Streptophyta; Magnoliopsida; Solanales; Solanaceae. The record is from RNAcentral.
GAUCGUUUGAUGUCGUAGCGGCCAUGAAGCGUGAGGAAAAGGGGAGGAGGCGCUGAUCGACGUCGGGAGAGAGGGCUGCCGGUUAGUGCAGCGGCGGCGCGGCAAGACGCCGGAGAGAGGAGGCUGACCGUGGUGAUCGGCGGCGGUGGAGGUAAGAAUUAGGGUUUCUUUGGCGAUAAGCCACUGGCGUCUGAUACCAUGUAGAG